UUGUCUCAAAGAUUAAGCCAUGCAUGUCUUAGUACAAGCCUAAUUAAGGUGAAACCGCGAAAGGCUCAUUAAAUCAGUUAUGGUUCCUUAGAUCGUACCCACAAUUACUUGGAUAACUGUGGUAAUUCUAGAGCUAAUACAUGCAAAUAGAACUCCAAUCGGAAACGUUCGGAGUGCUUUUAUUAGAUCAAAACCAAUCGGCUGUAAACAUAAUUAAACCGAUAUUUCGUAUGUCGGUGUUGUGUUUUAUUUGUCGUUAAAUGUUUUUGUUGAUUCUGAAUAACUUUAAGCUGAUCGCACGGUCUAGUACCGGCGACGCAUCUUUCAAAUGUCUGACUUAUCAACUGUCGAUGGUAGGUUCUGCGCCUACCAUGGUUGUAACGGGUAACGGGGAAUCAGGGUUCGAUUCCGGAGAGGGAGCCUGAGAAACGGCUACCACAUCCAAGGAAGGCAGCAGGCGCGCAAAUUACCCACUCCCGGCACGGGGAGGUAGUGACGAAAAAUAACGAUACGGGACUCAUCCGAGGCCCCGUAAUCGGAAUGAGUACAGUUUAAAUCCUUUAACGAGGAUCAAUUGGAGGGCAAGUCUGGUGCCAGCAGCCGCGGUAAUUCCAGCUCCAAUAGCGUAUAUUAAAGUUGUUGCGGUUAAAAAGCUCGUAAUCAAAUUUGUGUCUUGUGCCGUUGGUUCAUCGUUCGCGGUGUUAACUGGCGUGAUAUGAGACGUCCUGCCGGUGGGUUUUCAGGUUUUUUUGUAUUUUAGUACCGUCGCUUUUGAUAUUAUAUUAUUCUGGGGGUUACGCGUCAAUGAUGAUUUAGCGUGCGAUAAUAUCAACCGUUUGUCAUCUAUUUCGUUUCCGUUUUCUCACUUUACGUUACUAAAGCCGUUCUUAGAUGUAAUUAUUUGGACAACCCAAAUUUAAAAUCCUGCCGCGAUGCUCUUGAUUGAGUGUCGAGGUGGGCCGGUACGUUUACUUUGAACAAAUUAGAGUGCUUAAAGCAGGCAAAAAUGUCGCCUGAAUACUGUGUGCAUGGAAUAAUAGAAUAGGAUCUCGGUUCUAUUUUGUUGGUUUUCGGAAGUCCGAGGUAAUGAUUAAUAGGAACGGAUGGGGGCAUUCGUAUUGCGACGUUAGAGGUGAAAUUCUUGGAUCGUCGCAAGACGAACGGAAGCGAAAGCAUUUGCCAAAAACGCUUUCAUUGAUCAAGAACGAAAGUUAGAGGUUCGAAGGCGAUCAGAUACCGCCCUAGUUCUAACUGUAAACUAUGUCAACUAACGAUCCGUCGACGUUCCUCAAAUGACUCGACGGGCAGUUUCCGGGAAACCAAAGUUUUUGGGUUCCGGGGGAAGUAUGGUUGCAAAGCUGAAACUUAAAGGAAUUGACGGAAGGGCACCACCAGGAGUGGAGCCUGCGGCUUAAUUUGACUCAACACGGGAAACCUCACCAGGCCCGGACACCGGAAGGAUUGACAGAUUGAGAGCUCUUUCUUGAUUCGGUGGGUGGUGGUGCAUGGCCGUUCUUAGUUGGUGGAGCGAUUUGUCUGGUUAAUUCCGAUAACGAACGAGACUCUAGCCUGCUAAAUAGGCGACUAAAGACAUCUGAAAGGCCCGUCGACUUGGUUAAUUGGUUUUCGUAUUUGAUGUUUUUGUCAUAUUCGCUUGUCGUUUGUGUUCAAUUUCUAUCUGUACGUUACCUUACCUUGUCGUGCGCGGUUUUUACUGUCUGCGUAUUAAUAAUUCUUCUUACAGGGACAGGCGGCUUUUAGCCGCACGAGAUUGAGCAAUAACAGGUCUGUGAUGCCCUUAGAUGUUCUGGGCCGCACGCGCGCUACACUGAAGGAAUCAGCGUGUCCUCCCUGAUCGAGAGAUCCGGGUAACCCGCUGAACCUCCUUCGUGCUAGGGAUUGGGGCUUGCAAUUAUUCCCCAUGAACGAGGAAUUCCCAGUAAGCGCGAGUCAUAAGCUCGCGUUGAUUACGUCCCUGCCCUUUGUACACACCGCCCGUCGCUACUACCGAUUGAAUGAUUUACUGAGGUCUUCGGACCGAUGCGCGAUGACGUUUCCGCGUCNUCGAUGUAUCCGGGAAGAUGACCAAACUUGAUCAUUU
This 2101-nucleotide ribosomal RNA is filed under the name Tesserocerus dewalquei. RNAcentral's name for it is "SSU rRNA". It matches the Rfam family "Eukaryotic small subunit ribosomal RNA". The record is from RNAcentral. Lineage: Eukaryota; Metazoa; Arthropoda; Insecta; Coleoptera; Curculionidae.